CAUGCUUCUAGAGAGACUGACAACUCAAAUCAACUGAAAUUGGAACAGACACUAGUGCCACAGACCAGCAUAGCAGUUCAAGGACAAAUCCAGCACCUCUAAAGACAAGUCACCCUCAAUCGGCAGGAAGCUUUGGAAAAGGGUGAAGGCUGUAGCUUCCAUGGGAAUGUCUGACUUCUAACCUACAGUGGCUCCUCAGGACUCAUCAUCUGAUUGACCAACUCUCUUACUGAGCUGAGUAUGGAUAGAUAUAAAGUCGGCUUGGGGUGUAUAAUGAAUGCGUCCUCUGCAAAAUGAAACUAGAAUUGUUCAGGACCUUGGUCAGCACCCAGAAAGGUUUUGCUGGUGGGGAGCCAUACAUUUCACUCUGAAAUGGCAAUGACUUUGCGUUGGAGGG
This 397-nucleotide long non-coding RNA is filed under the name Phascolarctos cinereus (koala). RNAcentral describes it as "lncRNA (ENSPCIG00000036523.1)". The record is from RNAcentral. Lineage: Eukaryota; Metazoa; Chordata; Mammalia; Diprotodontia; Phascolarctidae.